Molecule: ribosomal RNA, 450 nt
Filed under: uncultured bacterium
Lineage: Bacteria
Description: bacterial SSU rRNA
Rfam family: Bacterial small subunit ribosomal RNA
Source: RNAcentral
AGAGUUUGAUCAUGGCUCAGAGCGAACGCUGGCGGCAGGCCUAACACAUGCAAGUCGAGCGCCAGCAAUGGGAGCGGCAGACGGGAGAGUAACACGUGGGAACGUGCCCUUCAGUUCGGAACAACCAAGGGAAACUUUGGCUAAUACCGGAUACGUCCGAAAGGAGAAAGAUUUAUCGCUGAAGGAGCGGCCCGCGUCUGAUUAGCUAGUUGGUGAGGUAAUGGCUCACCAAGGCGACGAUCAGUAGCUGGUCUGAGAGGAUGAUCAGCCUCACUGGGACUGAGACACGGCCCAGACUCCUACGGGAGGCAGCAGUGGGGAAUAUUGGACAAUGGGCGCAAGCCUGAUCCAGCCAUGCCGCGUGGAUGAUGAAGGCCCUAGGGUUGUAAAGUCCUUUCGUUGGGGAAGAUAAUGACGGUACCCAAAGAAGAAGCCCCGGCUAACUUCGUG